UUCCGGUUGAUCCCGCCGGAAGCCACUGCUAUGGGGGUCCGACUAAGCCAUGCGAGUCAUGGGGGUGUCCCUUCUGGGACACCACCGGCGGACGGCUCAGUAACACGUCGGUAACCUACCCUCGGGAGGGGGAUAACCCCGGGAAACUGGGGCUAAUCCCCCAUAGGUGUGGGGUACUGGAAGGUCCCCACACCGAAAGGGGCUUCGUGCCCGCCCGAGGAUGGGCCGGCGGCCGAUUAGGUAGUUGGUGGGGUAACGGCCCACCAAGCCGAAGAUCGGUACGGGCCAUGAGAGUGGGAGCCCGGAGAUGGACACUGAGACACGGGUCCAGGCCCUACGGGGCGCAGCAGGCGCGAAACCUCCGCAAUGCGGGAAACCGCGACGGGGGGACCCCCAGUGCCGUGGCAACGCCACGGCUUUUCCGGAGUGUAAAAAGCUCCGGGAAUAAGGGCUGGGCAAGGCCGGUGGCAGCCGCCGCGGUAAUACCGGCGGCCCGAGUGGUGGCCGCUAUUAUUGGGCCUAAAGCGUCCGUAGCCGGGCCCGUAAGUCCCUGGCGAAAUCCCACGGCUCAACCGUGGGGCUUGCUGGGGAUACUGCGGGCCUUGGGACCGGGAGAGGCGGGGGGUACCCCUGGGGUAGGGGUGAAAUCCUAUAAUCCCAGGGGGACCGCCAGUGGCGAAGGCGCCCCGCUGGAACGGGUCCGACGGUGAGGGACGAAGGCCAGGGGAGCGAACCGGAUUAGAUACCCGGGUAGUCCUGGCUGUAAAGGAUGCGGGCUAGGUGUCGGGCGAGCUCCGAGCUCGCCCGGUGCCGUAGGGAAGCCGUUAAGCCCGCCGCCUGGGGAGUACGGCCGCAAGGCUGAAACUUAAAGGAAUUGGCGGGGGAGCACUACAAGGGGUGGAGCGUGCGGUUUAAUUGGAGUCAACGCCGGG
RNAcentral lists this ribosomal RNA (932 nucleotides) under uncultured Thermococcales archaeon. RNAcentral's name for it is "bacterial SSU rRNA". It matches the Rfam family "Archaeal small subunit ribosomal RNA", at positions 1 to 922 of the family's 1478-position model. The record is from RNAcentral. Lineage: Archaea; Methanobacteriati; Methanobacteriota; Thermococci; Thermococcales.